GAAGUGUAAGUAGCUGCCGAUGUGAUCUCAGAUUGAACGCUGGCGACGUGCUUUACACAUGCAAAGUCUCGAACGGCAGCAAGUUUACUUUCGGGUAGAUGUUGGCGAGUGGCGGACGGGUGAGUAAUGCAUCGGGACAUGUCUUGUUGAGGGGGAUAACUCAUCGAAAGAUGAGCUAAUACCGCAUACUGUCUGAGGACGAAAGCUGGGGACUCGAGAGGGCCUGGCGCAAUAAGGUUGCCCGAUGUUCGAUUAGCUAGUUGGUGAAGUAAAGGUUUACCAAGGCGAUGAUCGAUAGCUGUUCUGAGAGGAAGAUCAGCCACACUGGGACUGAGACACGGCCCAGACUCCUACGGGAGGCAGCAGUGGGGAAUAUUGGACAAUGGGGGCAACCCUGAUCCAGCAACGCCGCGUGAAUGAAGAAGGCCUUAGGGUUGUAAAGUUCUUUUGUCUGGGAGCAAAGUUAUGCUGUGAAUAGCGGCAUGAUCUGAGAGUACCAGAAGAAUAAGCACCGGCUAACUACGUGCCAGCAGCCGCGGUAAUACGUAGGGUGCGAGCGUUAAUCGGAAUUACUGGGCGUAAAGAGUGCGUAGGCGGAUAUAUAAGUUAGAUGUGAAAUACCCGAGCUUAACUUGGGAAUUGCAUUUAAUACUGUG
Molecule: ribosomal RNA, 656 nt
Filed under: uncultured bacterium
Lineage: Bacteria
Description: bacterial SSU rRNA
Rfam family: Bacterial small subunit ribosomal RNA
Source: RNAcentral